AAAGCUUAAGGGCACAAUUCUAGUUGGAUUCACAGCUAAAUUAAAUGGAGAGAUUAGUAGUCAUCUUUCAAAGAGUGUGAUGUUCAAUUAAUUGUGAUGUUCAAUCAAUUUUUUACGAGAUCGAAAUCAGUUUAAUGGUGAUACUUUUGCCCACUAUUUAGGUGAAGUUGACAUGUUGGUGUUCAUGGAAGCCUGUUGCAACAUUAAUCCAAAGGCAAGUUGCAAAAGAAAAGGGAGAGUAUUUGGGAACAAAAGGAGCGAAAGUCAAAAAAUUGAAAUAUCAAAGCAACUUUCAGGAGCCACACGAGCUGGGUCAUUCCACAGGGGCUAGACACACGGUCGUGUGAGCCACACGGCCAUAUUCCAGGCCGUGUCAAAAUCGUAAAUUUCACUCCAAACGCGUGGAAAAACAUAAUUUUUAGGUUUUUCGAGCAUUCCAAGACCUAUAUAUGACAAACAUAAGAAGAUGGGAGUAAAUCGUCAUAGAAUAUUUAAGAAAACAACUCAGAAAAUACUAUUGAAGUCGACUCUGAAAUAGAUUUCCAUCAAGACUGAAGAUCUUCUUUUGAUUUCUUUAAAGUUUAUUAUGAGUUUCUUUAUUUCUUAUGGCUAUAUUGUCUUUGAGAUGUUUUUAUUUGCAAUUAUGAACUAACUUUCUAAAUA
Molecule: long non-coding RNA, 663 nt
Organism: Gossypium arboreum
Lineage: Eukaryota; Viridiplantae; Streptophyta; Magnoliopsida; Malvales; Malvaceae
Exons: 2
Source: RefSeq, a predicted model, not a curated record